This 2198-nucleotide ribosomal RNA is filed under the name Escherichia coli. RNAcentral's name for it is "partial 23S ribosomal RNA". It matches the Rfam family "Bacterial large subunit ribosomal RNA", at positions 1 to 2215 of the family's 2925-position model. Lineage: Bacteria; Pseudomonadati; Pseudomonadota; Gammaproteobacteria; Enterobacterales; Enterobacteriaceae. The record is from RNAcentral.
GGGUUGUGAGGUUAAGCGACUAAGCGUACACGGUGGAUGCCCUGGCAGUCAGAGGCGAUGAAGGACGUGCUAAUCUGCGAUAAGCGUCGGUAAGGUGAUAUGAACCGUUAUAACCGGCGAUUUCCGAAUGGGGAAACCCAGUGUGUUUCGACACACUAUCAUUAACUGAAUCCAUAGGUUAAUGAGGCGAACCGGGGGAACUGAAACAUCUAAGUACCCCGAGGAAAAGAAAUCAACCGAGAUUCCCCCAGUAGCGGCGAGCGAACGGGGAGCAGCCCAGAGCCUGAAUCAGUGUGUGUGUUAGUGGAAGCGUCUGGAAAGGCGCGCGAUACAGGGUGACAGCCCCGUACACAAAAAUGCACAUGCUGUGAGCUCGAUGAGUAGGGCGGGACACGUGGUAUCCUGUCUGAAUAUGGGGGGACCAUCCUCCAAGGCUAAAUACUCCUGACUGACCGAUAGUGAACCAGUACCGUGAGGGAAAGGCGAAAAGAACCCCGGCGAGGGGAGUGAAAAAGAACCUGAAACCGUGUACGUACAAGCAGUGGGAGCACGCUUAGGCGUGUGACUGCGUACCUUUUGUAUAAUGGGUCAGCGACUUAUAUUCUGUAGCAAGGUUAACCGAAUAGGGGAGCCGAAGGGAAACCGAGUCUUAACUGGGCGUUAAGUUGCAGGGUAUAGACCCGAAACCCGGUGAUCUAGCCAUGGGCAGGUUGAAGGUUGGGUAACACUAACUGGAGGACCGAACCGACUAAUGUUGAAAAAUUAGCGGAUGACUUGUGGCUGGGGGUGAAAGGCCAAUCAAACCGGGAGAUAGCUGGUUCUCCCCGAAAGCUAUUUAGGUAGCGCCUCGUGAAUUCAUCUCCGGGGGUAGAGCACUGUUUCGGCAAGGGGGUCAUCCCGACUUACCAACCCGAUGCAAACUGCGAAUACCGGAGAAUGUUAUCACGGGAGACACACGGCGGGUGCUAACGUCCGUCGUGAAGAGGGAAACAACCCAGACCGCCAGCUAAGGUCCCAAAGUCAUGGUUAAGUGGGAAACGAUGUGGGAAGGCCCAGACAGCCAGGAUGUUGGCUUAGAAGCAGCCAUCAUUUAAAGAAAGCGUAAUAGCUCACUGGUCGAGUCGGCCUGCGCGGAAGAUGUAACGGGGCUAAACCAUGCACCGAAGCUGCGGCAGCGACGCUUAUGCGUUGUUGGGUAGGGGAGCGUUCUGUAAGCCUGCGAAGGUGUGCUGUGAGGCAUGCUGGAGGUAUCAGAAGUGCGAAUGCUGACAUAAGUAACGAUAAAGCGGGUGAAAAGCCCGCUCGCCGGAAGACCAAGGGUUCCUGUCCAACGUUAAUCGGGGCAGGGUGAGUCGACCCCUAAGGCGAGGCCGAAAGGCGUAGUCGAUGGGAAACAGGUUAAUAUUCCUGUACUUGGUGUUACUGCGAAGGGGGGACGGAGAAGGCUAUGUUGGCCGGGCGACGGUUGUCCCGGUUUAAGCGUGUAGGCUGGUUUUCCAGGCAAAUCCGGAAAAUCAAGGCUGAGGCGUGAUGACGAGGUACUACGGUGCUGAAGCAACAAAUGCCCUGCUUCCAGGAAAAGCCUCUAAGCAUCAGGUAACAUCAAAUCGUACCCCAAACCGACACAGGUGGUCAGGUAGAGAAUACCAAGGCGCUUGAGAGAACUCGGGUGAAGGAACUAGGCAAAAUGGUGCCGUAACUUCGGGAGAAGGCACGCUGAUAUGUAGGUGAAGUCCCUCGCGGAUGGAGCUGAAAUCAGUCGAAGAUACCAGCUGGCUGCAACUGUUUAUUAAAAACACAGCACUGUGCAAACACGAAAGUGGACGUAUACGGUGUGACGCCUGCCCGGUGCCGGAAGGUUAAUUGAUGGGGUCAGCGCAAGCGAAGCUCUUGAUCGAAGCCCCGGUAAACGGCGGCCGUAACUAUAACGGUCCUAAGGUAGCGAAAUUCCUUGUCGGGUAAGUUCCGACCUGCACGAAUGGCGUAAUGAUGGCCAGGCUGUCUCCACCCGAGACUCAGUGAAAUUGAACUCGCUGUGAAGAUGCAGUGUACCCGCGGCAAGACGGAAAGACCCCGUGAACCUUUACUAUAGCUUGACACUGAACAUUGAGCCUUGAUGUGUAGGAUAGGUGGGAGGCUUUGAAGUGUGGACGCCAGUCUGCAUGGAGCCGACCUUGAAAUACCACCCUUUAAUGUUU